CUUCAAUUGAUGAGGAAUAAGCCAGAAAAUCCAUGAAGACCAGUUGAAAGGAGAAAGCAGUUGUCAACGAAUGUCCCGUCUCAUUACUCUUGCUGAAACUACAUCUUCUUAUUUGGUCAGAGCCAGCGGGCGGUGAUGACGACCAUCCUGAGCAGGUCAUUCCAUGCUCUGUAGGGUUCUAUUUGGGGUGGGAACACUGAGUCAGCUCACUUCCUCUCCACUCUGGUCGCAUCAGCAUGCUUCUGGUUAAAGGAGAAGAGAGAAGACGGAUGUGGCAAAAUGGGGAAGUUGGUUUUGUUUCAGGUUGCAG
Molecule: long non-coding RNA, 310 nt
Organism: Lagenorhynchus albirostris (white-beaked dolphin)
Lineage: Eukaryota; Metazoa; Chordata; Mammalia; Artiodactyla; Delphinidae
Exons: 3
Source: RefSeq, a predicted model, not a curated record